Pogonomyrmex barbatus (red harvester ant) is the source of this 223-nucleotide long non-coding RNA. The record is from RefSeq and is a predicted model, not a curated record. NCBI's taxonomy places the organism in Eukaryota, Metazoa, Arthropoda, Insecta, Hymenoptera, Formicidae.
UACAUCAAUUUUAAACUCUAAAUUAUAGAAGAAAAUAUCAGUGAACUAAAUGAAUAUGAUUUCGGCAAAUAAAAUCUACCUUGGGAUCGACGGGCUUAGUGGAAAAUCUGUCACGCUUUACUCCAUUCUCAUCAAAAAGGUGUACAGUACUGAGAUGAAAGCAGGUACAUGACAUUCAUGUAUAUACGUUGGUUGCCUAGCGACAUAACUCCCACCGCAUUGA